AGAUGGUGACAUGUGGCACCAAGUUCAGCCACAUUUCACCCUAUAAAUACCACCUCUCCCACCCUCAUUUUCUUCACACCUUUCCCAUUCUUUCUUCUCUUUACUCUCUCUCUCUCUCUAGAACCUCUCUCUAGCCCCGAAAUCCCCCGAAAAGCCUAGGGAACCUCCCUAGCACGAGGCGGAAGCCCCGGAGUGCUCGAAGGCUCCGAGAAGAAGAGCUUUUCGGCUCGGGAACGCUGCUCCAAGCAAAGCCCGGUUUUCUAUAAAACCCGCUGUUUCGUCGAAGAAAAUUCUUUUUAAGAAGCGAAGCGCUGUCUGAGUUCGGAAUCACCACCUUUUCAGGUAGUGGCGCUUGAGCAUAUAUAUGAUGUUUGGAUGAGGGAUUACGGAUAUAGGCCUGUAGAUAUGAAAUAAUGUAGUAAGGCUUGUAUUGUACUGUUUAUGCUUUUGAUCUGUACGAACAUGACAUCCCGAGUCUUUUAAUGAAAUACAUUUCUAUGGAAAUGCUUUUGAUAAAUCUUUAUCAUAUUAUUGUUUUGGGACAAAUUCCGCAACACUUUCAUUUAAAAUGUUACUCUGAUUUUUAAACAAAGCAUAAACAAACCGGUCUUUUCUGGCCGUGAUUUUGGGGAUGUCACAGAACCCGUGCACAAAACCGCGAUCCUACUCGGCGAGUUUGGACUC
Molecule: long non-coding RNA, 684 nt
Organism: Lactuca sativa (garden lettuce)
Lineage: Eukaryota; Viridiplantae; Streptophyta; Magnoliopsida; Asterales; Asteraceae
Source: RefSeq, a predicted model, not a curated record